UGGGGAAUAUUGGACAAUGGGCGAAAGCCUGAUCCAGCCAUGCCGCGUGUGUGAAGAAGGUCUUCGGAUUGUAAAGCACUUUAAGUUGGGAGGAAGGGCAGUAAGUUAAUACCUUGCUGUUUUGACGUUACCGACAGAAUAAGCACCGGCUAACUCUGUGCCAGCAGCCGCGGUAAUACAGAGGGUGCAAGCGUUAAUCGGCAUUACUGGGCGUAAAGCGCGCGUAGGUGGUUUGUUAAGUUGGAUGUGAAAGCCCCGGGCUCAACCUGGGAACUGCAUCCAAAACUGGCAAGCUAGAGUACGGUAGAGGGUGGUGGAAUUUCCUGUGUAGCGGUGAAAUGCGUAGAUAUAGGAAGGAACACCAGUGGCGAAGGCGACCACCUGGACUGAUACUGACACUGAGGUGCGAAAGCGUGGGGAGCAAACA
This 427-nucleotide ribosomal RNA is filed under the name uncultured bacterium. RNAcentral describes it as "partial 16S ribosomal RNA". It matches the Rfam family "Bacterial small subunit ribosomal RNA", at positions 355 to 774 of the family's 1533-position model. The record is from RNAcentral.